GCCGGGUGUGGUGGUGGGCGCCUGUAAUCCCAGUUACUGGGGAGGCUGAGGCAGGAGGAUCGCUGGAACCCAGGAGGUGGAGGUUGCAGUGAGCCAAGAUCGUGCCACUGCACUCCAGCCUGGGUGACAGAGCGAGACUCCGUCUCAA
Molecule: non-coding RNA, 148 nt
Filed under: Chlorocebus sabaeus (green monkey)
Lineage: Eukaryota; Metazoa; Chordata; Mammalia; Primates; Cercopithecidae
Source: Rfam by way of RNAcentral